UGCCUAGGAAAUUGCCUUGAUGUGGGGGAUAACCAUUGGAAACGAUGGCUAAUACCGCAUAAUGCCUACGGGCCAAAGAGGGGGAUCUUCGGACCUCUCGCGUCAAGAUAUGCCUAGGUGGGAUUAGCUAGUUGGUGAGGUAAUGGCUCACCAAGGCAACGAUCCCUAGCUGGUCUGAGAGGAUGAUCAGCCACACUGGAACUGAGACACGGUCCAG
RNAcentral lists this ribosomal RNA (217 nucleotides) under uncultured bacterium. RNAcentral's name for it is "partial 16S ribosomal RNA". It matches the Rfam family "Bacterial small subunit ribosomal RNA", at positions 114 to 334 of the family's 1533-position model. The record is from RNAcentral.